CAGCUAGUCAAAGAGACCCAGGCAGACUGAAGGAACAAGACACAGAGGUGGAUGAAAACAAUAAUGUGGUCUUCGCAAGCAGUGAUGAUGGCUGUUCUGAUAGUGGUGGUAAGUGUUACCUGCUCACUAGUAGAGCCGUUGGUAUACUGUCUCAUGAAUAAGCUGCAUUUAUGAUAAACUGCCUAGAGUUAUGUAUGUGACAUUGACUAAUAUAAGACACUGAUGUUAGCCUGUUAGCUCUAGUUCCUAAUGGUUAAAAGGAAAUGGGUGGCAUGUUAUAGCCAAAUAAACACACUGUUGGCCAACUUCAGUGCUCAGUAAUCUAUACAAAAGAUAACACUUGAUCAUGUACACUCUCUCUAUAGUGAGCUCCUUUAUUACAGCAAGAAAUAGACUGAAAAACACAUGAAAUCUGCGAGUUUAUCACCACAACCCAGAUUCUAAUUUUUGUUACAUUUGUCAAAUGUAGUUUUAUACAAAUGCCACCUUGUAAUGGCUGUGCAGUGGGGGGUUUUUCCUUUUGCUUUUUUAAUUUAUCCUAAAUAAAAGAAGAGUAAUUACCAUUUACAUACUCUUGAUGGCUAAUAUUUGACAUCUGGUGUCAGUCACAGGUGAAAGUCCCAUAGCAGCUACUCAGAGUGAUCCUCAGGGAAAUGAGGAGGAGGAGAAAGGAGGAGGCAGUGAGAUGGAUGAAGGUCAGAUUUUCCAGAUUUAUUCAAUAGAAAGGAAAAAAAUCAGUGAAUUAGGACGAUGUGGCACAUUAAUUUAUUUAUUUUUUUAUUUUUUUAAAGACGAUAGUUCUCAGCAUUUCGCAGAUGUAAAUGAAGAGACCAAAGAAGUAACACUCGCCGUGAGGAAAAGGGGAAAAACCAAAGUGGCCAAAGCAAAGGAGAUCCCCCGUGCGAAGGUCAAGAAGCCAUGGAGUGAAGCAGAGAAGACGGCAGUGCAAAGACGGCUGGGAAAAUUUGUCGCAGAGCGUAAAGUUCCAAAAAAAGAACACUGCAUGAAAUGCUUAGAAGCGGAAAAAGACCUAGCUAAUCGCUCAUGGAAAGAUGUUAAAAACUUUGUGUACAACACGAUUGUCACUCUGAAUCGAAGGUCUGCUUGUAAAAAACUCUUCUAAAAUAAGUUUACCUUGAUAAUGUUAAGACAUUAUUUAAGAUUUAAUUUUGUCUUCUCAUGCUUGGUUUGUGACUGACUUGACGGCUUUGGUAGCAACUGCGAGUCUGAUUGUAAUUUGAUUGGCUUUAUGUUUUGGAGUGGUGAACUGUGAGGGCGAUGAAAAUACCUUUACCUGGUGUCUUUUGAGGUAACCCGUUUUGGAUUUUAAGUUCUAGGUUUUUGCCCAGGAUGUUUUUGGUUCAUUUAUUUUAUAAUCUGUUAAAGUACAUUAGGCAUCUAAGUUGUUCACCUUCUUAAUGGCUUAAUGGUUAGAACACAUCCUAAAGUGUCCACCUUUGCUCAGUGCUGAUGUUCAUUGGCGAAAAGUUUAAUUUUGGUUUUAAUUAUGUAGGAAGCAGGAAGGUCAUACUGGUACAGUUGUAGCCAUCCUAAGCUUUACUGAUUUUUCUUUUUGGCAAAAGUCAAAACAAACUGAUCAAAGUUAUUGAUCACUAUUUUAGUUGUAAGUCAUUAGACUUAAUAGUUGUCUUCAUUGUUAUAAUAGCAAUUAUUAUUCCUCUGGAAGGAUGUUACAUUGUGAAAUAAACUGAAUUUGCUCUUGUUGCAGCAUUGUGGGAAUUUCCUUGGUAAUUAUUAAUAAAAUCUACAGCAGUAUUUGAAAUGUAAUACUACCUUUUUUGUUAUGUAGGGUUGUAUUGAUAGAUUAUCAGAACUUUUUAGUUAUUCUAUUUAUGUAUAAAGUUGAGACUGUUUAACUUUAACAUUAUUUGGUUGCACUAAAAUAGAAAAUGUCAAGGAGUAAAUGCAAACAGAAAAAAAACAUAUAGACAGAAACGAACACAAAAGCACCCCCUGGUGGAAAAUCACCUGAAUAGCACUCAAUGACAAGGUCCUCAUUCUGAUAGUAGAAUGAGAUUUUUUUUUUACUUGAGUGUUUUAAGAUUUUGAGGUGAUUUUUGGUGUCAGAGAGCCACCCAGUGUUCAAAAGUGGCAAAGGUUUGUCUGCAAGUGUAGCAGAAAUGGUGGUCCUCACUUUGAUAGUGCACUUACCCGGUCCUCAGUCGUUAUGCAAGACAGGAAUGUGUGUGUGUGUGUGU
This is a non-coding RNA of Maylandia zebra (zebra mbuna), 2219 nucleotides long. The record is from RefSeq and is a predicted model, not a curated record. NCBI's taxonomy places the organism in Eukaryota, Metazoa, Chordata, Actinopteri, Cichliformes, Cichlidae.